GUGAACGCUGGCGGUAGGCCUAACACCUGCAAGUCGAACGGCAGCACAGUAAGAGCUUGCUCUUACGGGUGGCGAGUGGCGGACGGGUGAGGAAUACAUCGGAAUCUACUUUUUCGUGGGGGAUAACGUAGGGAAACUUACGCUAAUACCGCAUACGACCUACGGGUGAAAGCAGGGGAUCUUCGGACCUUGCGCGGUUGAAUGAGCCGAUGUCGGAUUAGCUAGUUGGCGGGGUAAAGGCCCACCAAGGCGACGAUCCGUAGCUGGUCUGAGAGGAUGAUCAGCCACACUGGAACUGAGACACGGUCCAGACUCCUACGGGAGGCAGCAGUGGGGAAUAUUGGACAAUGGGCGCAAGCCUGAUCCAGCCAUACCGCGUGGGUGAAGAAGGCCUUCGGGUUGUAAAGCCCUUUUGUUGGGAAAGAAAAGCAGCAGGUUAAUACCCCGCUGUUCUGACGGUACCCAAAGAAUAAGCACCGGCUAACUUCGUG
This 491-nucleotide ribosomal RNA is filed under the name uncultured bacterium. Its description in RNAcentral is "partial 16S ribosomal RNA". It matches the Rfam family "Bacterial small subunit ribosomal RNA", at positions 29 to 507 of the family's 1533-position model. The record is from RNAcentral.